Molecule: ribosomal RNA, 50 nt
Filed under: Fusarium solani
Lineage: Eukaryota; Fungi; Ascomycota; Sordariomycetes; Hypocreales; Nectriaceae
Description: partial 28S ribosomal RNA
Source: RNAcentral
UUGACCUCGAAUCAGGUCGGAAUACCCGCUGAACUUAAGCAUAUCAAUAA